Non-coding RNA from Caenorhabditis elegans, 241 nucleotides. The record is from Ensembl. Lineage: Eukaryota; Metazoa; Nematoda; Chromadorea; Rhabditida; Rhabditidae.
CAUUUCUAGUGCCUUGGCGCUUUUUGCGUGCCUUGACACUUAUCUAGUGCCUUGGCGCAUUUCUAGUGCCUUGGCGCUUUUUGCGUGCCUUGACACUUAUCUAGUGCCUUGGCGCGUUUCUAGUACCUUGGUGCAUUUCUAGUGCCUUUGCGCAUUUCUAGUGCCUGGGCGUUUUUUGUGUAUUGGCGCAUUUCUAGUGUCUUAAGGCAUUUAUAGCGCCCUGGCGCAUUUCUAGUGCCUU